CAGUCGCCACGGUAAUACGUAGGGUGCAAGCGUUAAUCGGAAUUACUGGGCGUAAAGCGUGUGCAGGCGGUUAUAUAAGACAGAUGUGAAAUCCCCGGGCUCAACCUGGGAACUGCAUUUGUGACUGUAUAGCUAGAGUACGGCAGAGGGGGAUGGAAUUCCGCGUGUAGCAGUGAAAUGCGUAGAUAUGCGGAGGAACACCGAUGGCGAAGGCAAUCCCCUGGGCCUGUACUGACGCUCAUGCACGAAAGCGUGGGGAGCAAACAGGAUUAGAUACCCCGGUAGUCCCUGUCUCUUAUAC
RNAcentral lists this ribosomal RNA (301 nucleotides) under uncultured bacterium. RNAcentral's name for it is "partial 16S ribosomal RNA". It matches the Rfam family "Bacterial small subunit ribosomal RNA", at positions 509 to 807 of the family's 1533-position model. The record is from RNAcentral.